UACAGAGGGUGCAAGCGUUAAUCGGAAUUACUGGGCGUAAAGCGUGCGUAGACGGUUAUGUAAGUCAGGUGUGAAAGCCCCGGGCUCAACCUGGGAAUUGCAUUUGAGACUGCAUAGCUAGGGUGCGGAAGAGGGAAGCGGAAUUUCCGGUGUAGCGGUGAAAUGCGUAGAUAUCGGAAGGAACACCAGUGGCGAAAGCGGCUUCCUGGUCCGACACCGACGUUCAGGCACGAAAGCGUGGGGAGCAAACAGG
This 253-nucleotide ribosomal RNA is filed under the name uncultured bacterium. RNAcentral's name for it is "partial 16S ribosomal RNA". It matches the Rfam family "Bacterial small subunit ribosomal RNA", at positions 524 to 776 of the family's 1533-position model. The record is from RNAcentral.